UACAGAGGUCUCAAGCGUUGUUCGGGUUCAUUGGGCGUAAAGGGUGCGUAGGUGGCGCGCUAAGUCGGGUGUGAAAUUUCGGAGCUUAACUCCGAAACUGCAUUCGAUACUGGCGUGCUUGAGGACUGGAGAGGAGACUGGAAUUCAUGGUGUAGCAGUGAAAUGCGUAGAGAUCAUGAGGAAGACCAGUGGCGAAGGCGGGUCUCUGGACAGUUCCUGACACUGAGGCACGAAGGCCAGGGGAGCAAACGGG
This 253-nucleotide ribosomal RNA is filed under the name uncultured bacterium. RNAcentral describes it as "partial 16S ribosomal RNA". It matches the Rfam family "Bacterial small subunit ribosomal RNA", at positions 524 to 776 of the family's 1533-position model. The record is from RNAcentral.